CUCGAUACUACUACUACUAAAUAUCUAUAUCGACUAAUACAUAACCUACAAGUGUCACGUUUUUAUCGUUUUUAUUUAAACCUGUUUAAAAUCAUUUUAUAACAAUGUAAUCUUAUAAAUAACAGAAACCUUCUUUAUGAGGUGUUUCUUUUUUAUACCUUGUGCGCCAUAAACCAUGUAUUUUCCAAAAAAAAUUUUUCCACAUUAUUAUUCCAAAAUUGUGACCUGAAGAGGAUACUUAGGUAUCGAAACGUUGUCAACCAAUUUGAUAACAUCAAUAAAGACCGUAACUAAGGCCUCGUAAAAAUUAUUACCCAAUAUAUACUUUUAAUUAUUUAUUAUUAAUUAUUUCAAUAUUUAUUUGUAUUUUGAAAAAAUAUAAACUAUUCCAAAAAAAUAA
Long non-coding RNA from Leptopilina boulardi, 400 nucleotides. RefSeq lists it as uncharacterized. The record is from RefSeq and is a predicted model, not a curated record. The transcript has 2 exons. Lineage: Eukaryota; Metazoa; Arthropoda; Insecta; Hymenoptera; Figitidae.